This 253-nucleotide ribosomal RNA is filed under the name uncultured bacterium. RNAcentral's name for it is "partial 16S ribosomal RNA". It matches the Rfam family "Bacterial small subunit ribosomal RNA", at positions 524 to 776 of the family's 1533-position model. The record is from RNAcentral.
UACGUAGGGUGCGAGCGUUGUCCGGAAUUAUUGGGCGUAAAGGGCUCGUAGGCGGUUUGUCGCGUCGGGAGUGAAAACCCAGGGCUUAACCCUGGGCUGGCUUCCGAUACGGGCAGACUAGAGGUAUGCAGGGGAGAACGGAAUUCCUGGUGUAGCGGUGAAAUGCGCAGAUAUCAGGAGGAACACCGGUGGCGAAGGCGGUUCUCUGGGCCUUACCUGACGCUCAGGCGCGAAAGCUAGGGGAGCGAACAGG